RNAcentral lists this ribosomal RNA (465 nucleotides) under uncultured bacterium. RNAcentral's name for it is "partial 16S ribosomal RNA". It matches the Rfam family "Bacterial small subunit ribosomal RNA", at positions 28 to 507 of the family's 1533-position model. The record is from RNAcentral.
GACGAACGCUGGCGGCGUGCUUAACACAUGCAAGUCGAACGGAAAGGCCCUGCUUGCAGUGUACUCGCGUGGCGAACGGGUGAGUAACACGUGGGUGAACUGCCCUGCACUUCGGGUUAGGCCUGUGAAACUGGGUCUAAUACCUGCCAGGAGCCAUUUUUAGCGUGAUGGUUCGAAAGUUUUUUCGGUUUAGGAUGAGCUCGUGGCGUAUCAGCUUGCUGCUGUGGUAAUGUCUUACCAAGGCGGCGACGCGUAGCCGGCCUGCGUGGGUGGCCGGCCACAUAGGGACUUAGAGACGGCCCAGGCAGGGACGGUAGGCAGCAGGGCGGAAUCUUGCACGAUGAACGCAGGCCUGAUGAAGCGGCGCGGCGUGGCGGAAGACGGUCUUAGGGUUGUAGACUACAUGCGCUAGGGACGAAGCACUUUGUGACGGUACCUAGAUAAAAAGCAACGGCUAACUACGUG